RNAcentral lists this ribosomal RNA (543 nucleotides) under uncultured bacterium. RNAcentral describes it as "partial 16S ribosomal RNA". It matches the Rfam family "Bacterial small subunit ribosomal RNA", at positions 355 to 895 of the family's 1533-position model. The record is from RNAcentral.
UGGGGAAUUUUGGACAAUGGGCGAAAGCCUGAUCCAGCAAUGCCGCGUGUGUGAAGAAGGCCUUCGGGUUGUAAAGCACUUUUGUCCGGAAAGAAAUCCUUGGCUCUAAUACAGUCGGGGGAUGACGGUACCGGAAGAAUAAGCACCGGCUAACUACGUGCCAGCAGCCGCGGUAAUACGUAGGGUGCAAGCGUUAAUCGGAAUUACUGGGCGUAAAGCGUGCGCAGGCGGUUUGCUAAGACCGAUGUGAAAUCCCCGGGCUCAACCUGGGAACUGCAUUGGUGACUGGCAGGCUAGAGUAUGGCAGAGGGGGGUAGAAUUCCACGUGUAGCAGUGAAAUGCGUAGAGAUGUGGAGGAAUACCGAUGGCGAAGGCAGCCCCCUGGGCCAAUACUGACGCUCAUGCACGAAAGCGUGGGGAGCAAACAGGAUUAGAUACCCUGGUAGUCCACGCCCUAAACGAUGUCAACUAGUUGUGGGAUUCAUUCUUAGUAACGUAGCUAACGCGUGAAGUUGACCGCCUGGGGAGUACGGUCGCAAGAUU